CUUGGCGACAAGGGCAAGGAAAAACUGCCUGUUAAAAGGCAGAAACCUAGGACAGAUCCUCCGGCUCUAGGUGGGUGGUCGUCUGUCUCGACCAGUUGGGGUCAGAGAGAGAGAGAGAGAGAGAGAGAGACAGACAGACAGGUGCACAGCAACAACAGUAUUGGUAAUGGCAAUCUAGCAGGACCAUGGCAGGAGGCUCCACCAGGAUCGAUAAGAACCUGCGAGACGAGAAAGCACAAGAACUCCGGGGAAGAAGUGAA
This is a long non-coding RNA of Dicentrarchus labrax (European seabass), 260 nucleotides long. RefSeq lists it as uncharacterized. The record is from RefSeq and is a predicted model, not a curated record. NCBI's taxonomy places the organism in Eukaryota, Metazoa, Chordata, Actinopteri, Moronidae. The transcript has 2 exons.